UAUUCACCUGAUCGAGGGGUUAAUUCUGCCCUAUGUGAUAAUACAAUGUGUUCACCUGAUCGAGGGGUUAAUUCUGCCCUAUGUGAUAAUACAAUGUAUU
This is a long non-coding RNA of Pelobates fuscus (common spadefoot toad), 100 nucleotides long. RefSeq lists it as uncharacterized. NCBI's taxonomy places the organism in Eukaryota, Metazoa, Chordata, Amphibia, Anura, Pelobatidae. The transcript is spliced from 3 exons. The record is from RefSeq and is a predicted model, not a curated record.